CGCGGUUUGCGCCGCGCUGGAUUGGACCGUGGCCGCUCUGGCCGACGCACGUCAGCCCGGCCGAAAUACAUGCGGAGCGCAUACGCGUCGCCGCGACGUCACCAGCGUUGUAGAUUCCUCGCUGGCGUCGCCGUGGAGCGCGGCUCCCAAGCCCCCUUUAUUUCGACCUCAGAUCAAGCAGGAUUACCCGCUGAACUUAA
This 200-nucleotide unclassified non-coding RNA is filed under the name soil metagenome. Its description in RNAcentral is "partial contains internal transcribed spacer 2 and large subunit ribosomal RNA". The record is from RNAcentral.